RNAcentral lists this ribosomal RNA (374 nucleotides) under uncultured organism. RNAcentral's name for it is "bacterial SSU rRNA". It matches the Rfam family "Bacterial small subunit ribosomal RNA", at positions 526 to 896 of the family's 1533-position model. The record is from RNAcentral.
CAGAGGGUGCGAGCGUUGUUCGGAAUUACUGGGCGUAAAGCGCGCGCAGGCGGCCUUUUAAGUCUACCCGUGAAAUGCCGGAGCUCAACUCCGUGCACGCCGGGGGAUACUGGGAGGCUGGAGACAUGUAGAGGCAAGCGGAAUUCCGGGUGUAGCGGUGGAAUGCGUAGAUAUCCGGAAGAACACCUGAGGCGAAGACGGCUUGCUGGGCAUGAUCUGACGCUGAGGCGCGAAAGCGUGGGGAGCAAACAGGAUUAGAUACCCUGGUAGUCCACGCCGUAAACGAUGGGCACUAGACGCGGGUGGGAUCGACCCCUUCCGUGUCGCAGCUAACGCGAUAAGUGCCCCGCCUGGGGAGUACGGCCGCAAGGCUG